GGGCCCGCACAAGCGGUGGAGUAUGUGGUUUAAUUCGACGCAACGCGCAGAACCUUACCCAGUCUUGACAUCCCUGGACCACUAUGGAGACAUAGCUUUUCGACCUAACGGAAGAAUCAGGUGACAGGUGCUGCAUGGCUGUCGUCAGCUCGUGUCGUGAGAUGUUCGGUUAAGUCCGGUAACGAGCGCAACCCCUGUCCUUAGUUGCCAGCAGUUCGGCUGGGCACUCUAGGGAAACUGCCCGUGAUAAGCGGGAGGAAGGUGUGGAUGACGUCAAGUCCUCAUGGCCCUUACGGGUUGGGCUACACACGUGCUACAAUGGCAGUGACAAUGGGUUAAUCCCAAAAACUAGUCUCAGUUCGGAUUGGGUCUGCAACUCGACCCCAUGAAGUCGGAAUCGCUAGUAAUCG
Molecule: ribosomal RNA, 410 nt
Filed under: uncultured bacterium
Lineage: Bacteria
Description: bacterial SSU rRNA
Rfam family: Bacterial small subunit ribosomal RNA
Source: RNAcentral